RNAcentral lists this ribosomal RNA (301 nucleotides) under uncultured bacterium. Its description in RNAcentral is "partial 16S ribosomal RNA". It matches the Rfam family "Bacterial small subunit ribosomal RNA", at positions 509 to 807 of the family's 1533-position model. The record is from RNAcentral.
CAGCCGCCGCGGUAAUACGUAGGGUGCAAGCGUUAAUCGGAUUUACUGGGCGUAAAGCGUGCGUAGGCGGCUUUUUAAGUCGGAUGUGAAAUCCCUGAGCUUAACUUAGGAAUUGCAUUCGAUACUGGGAAGCUAGAGUAUGGGAGAGGAUGGUAGAAUUCCAGGUGUAGCGGUGAAAUGCGUAGAGAUCUGGAGGAAUACCGAUGGCGAAGGCAGCCAUCUGGCCUAAUACUGACGCUGAGGUACGAAAGCAUGGGGAGCAAACAGGAUUAGAUACCCGCGUAGUCCCUGUCUCUUAUAC